This 1241-nucleotide long non-coding RNA is filed under the name Mus pahari (shrew mouse). RNAcentral's name for it is "lncRNA (MGP_PahariEiJ_G0012301.1)". The record is from RNAcentral. Lineage: Eukaryota; Metazoa; Chordata; Mammalia; Rodentia; Muridae.
GGAUGGGGCUACUCGGGUUGCCUCUGCUGUGGUUAGGAUCUAAGGCACCGCGCUAUUGUAAAGGGACCGGCUGGGACGGACGCCCUGGCUGUCCUGGAACUCACUCUGUAGAUCAGGCUGGCCUUGAACUCAGAAAUCCACCUGCCUCUGCCUCCCGAGUGCUGGGAUUAAAGACAAGAGCCGCCGCCCGACUUGCCUAGCACAUUCUCGCUCCGUGAUUAUUUGCGGAAGAAAGGGAUAUGCACACAGUCCCUGCGGUUAUCUAAGUAGAUUUGAGGCAGGAACGAAGGGUAUAGUCCGAGCCUUACUCAUCCCAGCCUGUUGCUAACCUAUUGAGGUCAAGAUGGCUUAGAGCCACUGAGCUAUGAUUUCCGGGGACCCAGGGCAUCUGGAGCCCUGGGUUGCUGGAAGACACAUGAAUAGCUGGCCACAACUGAGGGGUGAUUUGAGCCUUGCAGUGAAUCCUGUCAGCUUCCUCUCUGCUAGGAAAAGCCAACUCCUGCUUUUGUUUGAAACUUGGUAUGAAAACUAUAUUGGAUGUGGAAUUUUCGAGAAUCACAAUAUGUUUAAGUGUACCCUCAAGAGAUGACACUACUCAGCCCUAUAGUGGCCCCUGACUGUCCUAUGGCCGGUAACUUCUUGAAGGCACAGAGCUAGGAACAGAGGAUGUGCUUCAAGUCUGGCCACAGCUCUCUCUUGUGCUGCCGAUGCUCCGUGGGAUGACAUCUGGCUCAGGAUCAGAUCAGCCCGGUCCACUGUCCAUACCGGAAGGAACAUUGACAUCCAAGGAUGCCUCUGCAGUUGCAUUGGGAGCCAAAGGUCUCAGCACCUAGUCAUAGCCAGUGUCUUCCCUUUAUGAAGGUAUUUGUAACUUUGCUGCUCAUUCCUGGCAGCCUGGAAGUCCUUGUUGCUGCUCAACCCUGUUGGCUGUCUCUUCCCCACUAGGGGAGCUUAGUGUCAUAUGUAAACAUAGACAGGUCCCUGGGUUCUCUCUGGACAAGCACUGGAAAGCAGCUCAAUCCCCGAGGCUGCAGUACCAGCUGGGACAGUUCCCCAUCCAAAGACCAAGGCCUGUCGUGCACAGCAGGAUGGGGUCUGGGACUGUGGUUCCAGAGACCUGACUUCAGGAGUGGAAACCUGCAUGCUGACUCCUGCCUGCAGGCACCGAACGACACACAUGGUCCACUUUGUGCAUAUCACCUUGAUUUUUUUUUUCAUGUCCAUCAUAGAAAAGAGUGAUU